This is a long non-coding RNA of Dendronephthya gigantea, 1059 nucleotides long. RefSeq lists it as uncharacterized. NCBI's taxonomy places the organism in Eukaryota, Metazoa, Cnidaria, Anthozoa, Malacalcyonacea, Nephtheidae. The record is from RefSeq and is a predicted model, not a curated record. The transcript has 3 exons.
AUGGCGGCGGCCAGGAGGCGUUGGUGAAAUCUAAAAUCCAGUAAAAUCAUUCCACUGAGGUAAAAUCAAAUAUGGUGAAAUUCGAGAUAGCGACGUGCAAAUUCGAGACAUGCGACUGAUGAAAUAAGUUUCACAUUAGCUGCAAAGUCAACAGAGAAGUUUGGUGUGGAAGGAGUUGCAGUUUCAUGCUGAAUUUAAUGGUAUUUUCGAAUAUGAAGCGCGGGGGGCUUUGAAAUGAAGGACUGGAUUACAGAGGGUGAAUUAGGGUUACGAUUGGUUACGAUGUGGGUUUAACUUAACAGCCAGUUAUCAAGACAAACGUGAAGAUGAAAGAGAUAUUUUUACUAGUCACUGUAUUGAACGUAACUGUUGAAGGCAAUGGUCUCGCAACAUUCAAGUCGGUAUUUCGAAUCCUCGGAAGAAUGAUUUUCAUUAUUCACCCAAAAAAAGGAUUGAGAUAAACGUAGCCUUAAACGUCAAGCGCUGGUGGUCUAGUGGUGAAGACAACGUUCUCGCAAUCUAGAUGACCAUGGUUCGAAACGUUAUCUGGCCUUUUUUUAGUAUGCUAAUUGCAACUUACAGACAUGCGUCGUGCAUGUAAGUGUACUGUCUUUAAUUCUCUACGCAUAUGAUGUAUGCACGUGGUCAUUCGUGCACUGUGUGGACUAUUGCAUGAUGUCAAGAAAAUUUUAAAUGUCCUUAAUUCACUCCAUUUGUUGAAAAAUUGACCGGUUUUAGGUUGCAGUAAAUGCAGUGAGUGAAAACGGACACUUUGCGUUUAUUAAACGUACUUAAACGAUAUUGCAAAGCGAGAAAAAGUGAAAUUAAGUAUUUAUAAACCCCGCGCAGUCGCAGUGAACGAGUAAUAAUCCCACAAUAACCACAUUGAGCAAUGUCGUAUAUACUAAGCCGACAACUCUUGAACUCAUACACCACAGGCACACACCGACUAUCGUUAUCUAAUCUUUUGGCAGGAUUCUGUGGAAGAACUUUUGUUCUGGCAUGUGUUUAGAGGAUAAUGAUAGUUCGAAUCCUAUUAUAACCGUUUUUCAUUAAGAA